UGGCGGACGGGUGAGUAAUGUCUGGGAAACUGCCUGAUGGGGGGGGAUAACUACUGGAAACGGUAGCUAAUACCGCAUAACGUCGCAAGACCAAAGAGGGGACCUUCGGGCCUCUUGCCAUCGGAUGUGCCCAGAUGGGAUUAGCUAGUAGGUGGGGUAAUGGCUCACCUAGGCGACGAUCCCUAGCUGGUCUGAGAGGAUGACCAGCCACACUGGAACUGAGACACGGUCCAG
RNAcentral lists this ribosomal RNA (234 nucleotides) under uncultured bacterium. RNAcentral describes it as "partial 16S ribosomal RNA". It matches the Rfam family "Bacterial small subunit ribosomal RNA", at positions 96 to 334 of the family's 1533-position model. The record is from RNAcentral.